UGAGGUGCGGAAACCACUGCCUGGGGACAGCUCGGCGUCUGUCUUGUUUGGACACAGUCUGAACAGUGGGCCACCUGCGAGGGUGGAAGCGGCUGCUGGGAUUGGCGGAGACUGGGCUGUCUGGUCCCAGAGCAGGUCUUGGCAUGCUAACCACACGCGGUGAAGGUUGUCUCCCGUCUCUCACCACUUGCCGGGAAGCACUGUGCGUAAGAGGCCCGAGAGCCACGAAUCUGGACGAUCCUGAUGACACCGGUGCACCCUGGGACUGCAGCUUCAUCAGUGGUCACAGCAUCCCUCCUAGGGACAGGUCUCUGCACGGCUCCCUCUGCCCUGGCCUUUCCUGCUCCCCUCCACCGCCCCGGGGUGACAGGCUCACCGCGUCCCUCCCUGCUUACCAACAGUCAAGGAUUCGCCGUAGACAGCGUGGCCACUUCAUGUUUGGAUAAGACAGGCCCAGCCACCAGGUCCCUCUCCCCUACUCUGGGGAGGCUCA
Long non-coding RNA from Lemur catta (Ring-tailed lemur), 493 nucleotides. RefSeq lists it as uncharacterized. The record is from RefSeq and is a predicted model, not a curated record. NCBI's taxonomy places the organism in Eukaryota, Metazoa, Chordata, Mammalia, Primates, Lemuridae. The transcript has 3 exons.